This 506-nucleotide ribosomal RNA is filed under the name Eusparassus jaegeri. RNAcentral's name for it is "partial 16S ribosomal RNA". It matches the Rfam family "Bacterial large subunit ribosomal RNA", at positions 1796 to 2644 of the family's 2925-position model. The record is from RNAcentral. Lineage: Eukaryota; Metazoa; Arthropoda; Arachnida; Araneae; Sparassidae.
UCGACUGUUUAUCAAAAACAUAUUUAAUAGAAAUCAUUAUUAAUACAACCUGCUCAAUGAAUUUUUAAAUAGCCGCAGUUCAUACUGUGCUAAGGUAGCAUAAUCAUUUGUCUUUUAAUUAAAGACUAGAAUGAAAGGUUUAACAUUUAAAUUAUUAUUUUAAAAAUCAAUUUACAAAUUAUUCUAAAUGUAAAAAAACAUUUAUUUAAAUGAAAGACGACAAGACCCUAUUGAACUUAACUUAAGUUUAACUGGGGCAGUUUUUUAAUAAAUCUUUAAAUUUUUUUAAAAAAAUGACCCGAUUUAAUCGAUCUCAUAAUCAAGUUACCAUAGGGAUAACAGCGUAAUAUUUUUCUAUAGAUCUUAUAUAAAAAAAUGAUUGCGACCUCGAUGUUGAAUUAAUUUUUCUAUUAAACGCAACAGUUUAAUAAGAAAGUCUGUUCGACUUUUAAAAAAUUACAUGAUUUGAGUUCAGACCGGUGUAAACCAGGUCGGUUUUCUAUCUU